This is a non-coding RNA of Penaeus vannamei (Pacific white shrimp), 898 nucleotides long. Lineage: Eukaryota; Metazoa; Arthropoda; Malacostraca; Decapoda; Penaeidae. The record is from RefSeq and is a predicted model, not a curated record.
CGCUCUUCUCUUCGUCGCUUUUAUUCGGUUUUCUCUCAUUAAUUCCGCGAACUGUGCCGGAGUAAUAAUUUUUCCUAUUUCGUUUCACGUUAUGAUUCAUACGUAAUAUCUAAAAAUACAUCUACAUUACAUUCUGCUUUUAUCCACAGCUAUCCAGUCCCCAACCUCAUACCACAUUACAUAACCGGUAUUGCAUAAAUAUGUAUGUAUAUAUAUAUAUUUUUUUUUUCUCUUUUCGUCCCUUCCCAAAAUUCCACGCUGAAUAUCAUACAACCCGUUCCUACAAUGCCCAUUUUCUGAGAACUUAAACAAAGAAGAAAAUAAUAAAUGGCUUACAUAACAAUCCAUAACACACAACUUUUCCCCUUCAAAAAAUAAAAAAUAAAAAUAAAAAUAAAAUGUCCUUCCACCGCUCUGCAGUUUUGUUAUGCGAAGCUCCCUCGCCGUCGCCAUGGCAACCGCUGGGAAAGGCUUGGAAUACCUGUUAUGGAGAGAGUGACUCCAUUUCCCCUCGCUUUUGUCAGCUCCUUUUGCCUCUAUCGUCAUUUUAUUGCGCGUUUUAUUAUUACGUGUUUUAUCCGUGCGUCUAAACCCUCUCCGUUUUGCCAAGAAGGAGGUCGUGGUAUGAAGUCUUAAUUGAAAACAGUGAUGAUUGUUUUUUUUUCGUUUCGCGGUUUUAAAACUAUUUUUUUCUGAAGAUAUAUAUCUUAUUUGGUUCAAGAUGUACGAGCGCGAAAAGACGGUGAUGUUGGCGACCUCAGCGUCUCUCCUUCCCAAUAACCUUUGUCGUGUCAGGCGCAACGGCAAGGUGUGGGCCGGCGUCGUGCACAGGGACCGCCUCAACAUCGUGUGCGCUCCGACCCCGAGGGAGAGCCCAGGCAUGAUUGCGUGCGACAUA